Molecule: long non-coding RNA, 670 nt
Organism: Hippocampus comes (tiger tail seahorse)
Lineage: Eukaryota; Metazoa; Chordata; Actinopteri; Syngnathiformes; Syngnathidae
Exons: 4
Source: RefSeq, a predicted model, not a curated record
CUGGGGGGGUUCAAUAGGCGUAAGGCGGAGGUUUCUCGAAGGGGCCGUGAGCGGAUCCAAAGAGGACCGGCGCGUUGGGUGACACGAAGUGCCUACGGGACCCCCCUCGGGGAUCAUUUGUGGGGUAGCGGGUCCGUGAAAACUACUGCUGGUAGUCUGAGCAAAGAAAAGAAAAAGAAGGCGACAUUACGACCUGUUAGGUACCUGCGAGCCACUUUACAAGGUCGACCUUGAGAUUUAGAUUUUUCAAAGAGGCUCCAAGGAUGGCGGCAGCGAUGAUUCCCAGGAAGAGGCCGGUCACGUUGAGGACCACCGAGGCCCACAGCAGACGAUGGAGGUGGAUCACAUCCCAGCAGCCGCUGACCCCGAAGAAGGACGCAAUGACGCCAAUGCUGACAAAGAUAAUGGCCGCCAUCAGCUUGGAGAGAACAGACGUGAAAAAAGACGGUCAUGUGUCGUAUCACUUUAUGAAAAGCGACGUGGCAACACAAGCAAAUGUUUGGUAAAGAAAGCGUAAUAUGCGCACACAGAUAUGAUCGUAUAGUUCUCUGCUGUGUGUUCUGAUCGAGUAAGAAUAACACACACACACACUCGCACAGACACACGCUUGUUCUGAAGCCCCGGCUGCCCUGUGACAGAUGUCCCAUCAUAAACUUUAUAAUAACAUUUA